UCGGGAAUAUUGCGCAAUGGAGGAAACUCUGACGCAGUGACGCCGCGUAUAGGAAGAAGGUUUUCGGAUUGUAAAGUAUUGUCGUUAGGGAAGGUACAAGGCAGUACCUAAGGAGGAAGCUCCGGCUAACUACGUG
RNAcentral lists this ribosomal RNA (136 nucleotides) under uncultured bacterium. RNAcentral's name for it is "partial 16S ribosomal RNA". It matches the Rfam family "Bacterial small subunit ribosomal RNA", at positions 355 to 507 of the family's 1533-position model. The record is from RNAcentral.